CCUACUGGCCAUCGCUAUCUUAUCUUAUUUUAUUUGUAAGACGAUUCUCACUAAUCCAUUUCUAUAUUGCUAUUAUCGUUUUAAAAUGUUAGUAAUUUUACAGUCGUCGUGUCACUCAUGUGUAAUUCGUAUUUCGUGCUGUACUCGCCUGUAUUGCUGUUGUCCGUAGUGUUUUCGUUUGUAAUUUCGUGUUCAAUUAUUCUGUUUUAAAAUGUCACAAAAACAACAAAGUGAAAUAAACUUUUUUUUUAAAAAGUUAAAAACAAGUGACGAAAAUAAUCCAUCUCCAAGUGAAGGUAUAGAAAAUGUAAGCGUGUUACCAACAGAGUCAGAGCCAGCUACAUUUUCUGAUUCGUGUGAAGUCGAUUCUAACAGUCAAUAUAAUAUCGCAUUUGCUAUUAAAGAAAAUGCAAAUCUAAAAAUUCGAAACGAUCCAAAUAUGCUUUACAAAUAUUUAAAAGAAACGUGGUCACCUAAACAAAAUUAUAUUUUCCCUCAAAUACAAUCGUCCAAAAAUUAAAAGAAAUUGGUUUAAGUUUGGAAUUUUUACGAGGGCAGGGAUAUGAUGGUGGAAAAAAAAUAUGUCUGGUAAAUACCGCGGAGUUCAAGCUAGAAUCUUAAAUUUGCAACCAAAGGCAAUAUACACUCAUUGUGCAUCGCACCGCCUAAAUCUAACUUUAAUAAAAGCAUGUAGAGACAUGAUAUCAAAAGAAAAGUAUCGAUACUUUCACUUGGUAACGAAUGGAAUGAAAAUAACGAAACAUAACGACCGGUAUGAGUAUCGAAAAAAAAAUAUUGAUCCUUUUACUUAGUCCUAUCAUCGUAACAAAUAUAAUUAAAAUAUUGAUAACAAUAAAAUAUGAAAACGACCUAUAUGAAUAA
This is a long non-coding RNA of Sipha flava (yellow sugarcane aphid), 882 nucleotides long. RefSeq lists it as uncharacterized. The record is from RefSeq and is a predicted model, not a curated record. Lineage: Eukaryota; Metazoa; Arthropoda; Insecta; Hemiptera; Aphididae. The transcript is spliced from 3 exons.